ACAUACGACCAUACCCACUGGAGAAUUCGGUUCGGGAUCCCGUCCGCCCGUCCGCUCUCCCAUAGAUAAGCCAGUGAGGGCUGGAGUAGUAGUCGGGUCGGUGACGACCGGCGAAUGCCCGGUGUUGUAUGUC
Molecule: non-coding RNA, 133 nt
Organism: Colletotrichum gloeosporioides
Lineage: Eukaryota; Fungi; Ascomycota; Sordariomycetes; Glomerellales; Glomerellaceae
Source: Rfam